This 445-nucleotide ribosomal RNA is filed under the name uncultured bacterium. RNAcentral describes it as "partial 16S ribosomal RNA". It matches the Rfam family "Bacterial small subunit ribosomal RNA", at positions 354 to 796 of the family's 1533-position model. The record is from RNAcentral.
GUAGGGAAUAUUGGGCAAUGGAGGCAACUCUGACCCAGCCAUGCCGCGUGCAGGAUGACGGCCCUCUGGGUUGUAAACUGCUUUUAUACGGGAAGAAAAAAUACUACGUGUAGUAUACUGACGGUACCGUAAGAAUAAGGAUCGGCUAACUCCGUGCCAGCAGCCGCGGUAAUACGGAGGAUCCAAGCGUUGUCCGGAUUUAUUGGGUUUAAAGGUUGCGUAGGCGGAUCUUUAAGUCAGUGGUGAAAGCCUGCAGCUUAACUGUAGAAUUGCCAUUGAAACUGAAGAUCUUGAAUGUGGUUAAAGUAGGCGGAAUGUAUCAUGUAGCGGUGAAAUGCUUAGAUAUGAUACAGAACACCGAUAGCGAAGGCAGCUUGCUGAACCAUUAUUGACGCUGAGGCACGAAAGCGUGGGGAGCGAACAGGAUUAGAAACCCUAGUAGUCC